Molecule: transfer RNA, 67 nt
Filed under: Gyrinophilus porphyriticus (spring salamander)
Lineage: Eukaryota; Metazoa; Chordata; Amphibia; Caudata; Plethodontidae
Description: tRNA-Tyr
Source: RNAcentral
GGUAAGGUGGCCGAAGCAGGUGUCGAGUUGUAGCCUCGAUCAUAAAGGUUAUAUCCUUUUCUUACCA